Molecule: ribosomal RNA, 238 nt
Filed under: uncultured bacterium
Lineage: Bacteria
Description: partial 16S ribosomal RNA
Rfam family: Bacterial small subunit ribosomal RNA
Source: RNAcentral
CCGACGGGUGAGUAACACGUAUGCAAUCCACCUGUAACAGGGGGAGUAACCCGGAGAAAUCCGACUAAUACCCAUAAUAUGGGCGCUCCGCAUGGAGAGUCCAUUAAAGAGAGCAAUCUUGGUUACAGACGAGCAUGCGCUCCAUUAGCUAGUUGGCGGGGUAACGGCCCACCAAGGCGACGAUGGAUAGGGGUUCUGAGAGGAAGGUCCCCCACAUUGGAACUGAGACACGGUCCAA